GAUGAACGCUGGCGGCGUGCCUAAUACAUGCAAGUCGAGCGAACGGACGAGAAGCUUGCUUUUCUGAUGUUAGCGGCGGACGGGAGAGUAAAACGUGGAUAACCUACCUAUAAGACUGGGAUAACUUCGGGAAACCGGAGCUAAUACCGGAUAAUAUUUUGAACCGCAUGGUUCAAAAGUGAAAGACGGUCUUGCUGUCACUUAUAGAUGGAUCCGCGCUGCAUUAGCUAGUUGGUAAGGUAACGGCUUACCAAGGCAACGAUGCAUAGCCGACCUGAGAGGGUGAUCGGCCACACUGGAACUGAGACACGGUCCAGACUCCUACGAGAGGCAGCAGUAGGGAAUCUGCCGCAAUGGGCGAAAGCCUGACGGAGCAACGCCGCGUGAGUGAUGAAGGUCUUCGGAGCGUAAAACUCUGUUAUGAGUGAUGAACAUAUGUGUAAGUAACUGUGCACAUCUUGACGGUACCUAAUCAGAAAGCCACGGCUAACUACGUG
This 497-nucleotide ribosomal RNA is filed under the name uncultured bacterium. RNAcentral describes it as "partial 16S ribosomal RNA". It matches the Rfam family "Bacterial small subunit ribosomal RNA", at positions 28 to 507 of the family's 1533-position model. The record is from RNAcentral.